This is a long non-coding RNA of Betta splendens (Siamese fighting fish), 1524 nucleotides long. RefSeq lists it as uncharacterized. The record is from RefSeq and is a predicted model, not a curated record. NCBI's taxonomy places the organism in Eukaryota, Metazoa, Chordata, Actinopteri, Anabantiformes, Osphronemidae. The transcript is spliced from 3 exons.
ACAGGCCUUCUUGUUGGGAGGGAAGCCAUCACUGAAGCCAUUAACCUGAUCUCUGCCCAGUGGGGAACCAGCACUCUCCAACUUCCUCUUCACUGUCUCUUGCAACUGGAGGGAUACACAAAAACAAUUUAACGCAGCAGAACCACCAGCCCAUCUCUGCACAGCCUCAGCUGAUCCUCACACGGUUUCACAUACCGCAACAGCUGCAGAACUUGAUGCAGCAGACAAUCAGAGCUGGUGACAGGUGAGGACGGUUUUGAUGCACCUGCUGUCUGUGUGAUGACCUGUCGGGAGCCUCAACCAUCAAGGCAGACUUUGGACUCACAACCCUCAGUUUUCGAACGCCUUCCAUAGACUGUAAAUGGCGAUCACCACUGCCCUCACACUAAUUUUUUCAGAUUCCAGAGAUGCAUGCACUGUAGUCGCUUUAAGUUCCUCUCACUGUUGCUGAAUUCUGAGGAUCCAAAAUUUUAAUAAUGUUGAACCAUAAUACAUUAACAGGUGUCUACAGUUAGCUCGUACUCACUGUCUUACUCAGGGACACUUAAACUGAGCCAGGUGGCCUCUGACCAAGAAGCCGCACAUACUGCGCUAUGAUGGGAAACCACCACAAAACAACACUUCCUCCACCAAUUACACAAGCACAAACACUGAACAGCAGCUCCACCUGUGUCAUUCACACUAAACAGCCUGAGUGUCAUACGCUUUAGAUACACAACCCCACAAGUCAGUCAGACUCAGCACAGGUUCAGGCUACACCUACGGCUUGUUUACUCUCAGACAUUCUAGAUUGACCCAUUUAUGAACUUGUAGCUGUUGUGCUCAGCUCAGCGUUUCCACUGAAUUCCCCUCCUUUGGAGAAGGGCUAUGCAAAAUAAAUCUUCUCAGGAGGUUGUACUGCAAACAGCAAGACAGCAGUAAAUGCACCAGAUUAUUAGUCUUAAACCUAAAAUUCUCAUGCGAAUAAAAACAUAUUGCAUGCGUUUACUUAAUUGGUUACUUAAAAUGUGAGCUUGAAAUAGACAAACGAGGAGAUAAGCUGGAGGGGAGAACUAAGCUCCAACUGAAGACAAUCGUCUGUCGACAAAACUCCCUGUUUUGUAACACUCCAGCCAAGUUCAGGUGGUUGGAGGUUGCUGUGAUUUUGAAACGUGGUGGAAAAUGUGCUUUUCAGGUGUAAAUGGUGGACUCAGAUGUCACCCAAGAUGCCUUUAAAGCAAAGACAGACACAACUGUAUGGAAAUUAUACAGAAAGACACAAACCAGGAUGAUGGAGGUCAAAAAGUAGCACAAAGUAGGAAAUCAAGCAGAGCUGCAUUUUCAAAGGACAGCGACACAAGCCGAGACCUCAUCUCUGUGUGUUUUAGUUACGCCACAACAGUGUCUUUCAUCACACAAACAGGACUUACUAUAUUCAGCUUACAAUGCCACAAGCAUUAAACUACCAUUUUGUUAAUAAAACCUCAGUCACUGUGAACUUUGUUAUUAUAAAUGUACACCACAUAAAUGCCCUAAUUUAAAAGA